Molecule: ribosomal RNA, 301 nt
Filed under: uncultured bacterium
Lineage: Bacteria
Description: partial 16S ribosomal RNA
Rfam family: Bacterial small subunit ribosomal RNA
Source: RNAcentral
CAGCAGCCACGGGAAUACAGAGGGUGCAAGCGUUAAUCGGAAUUACUGGGCGUAAAGGGCGCGUAGGUGGUUGCGUAAGUGAGAUGUGAAAGCCCCGGGCUCAACCUGGGAAUGGCAAUGGAUACUGGCGAGCUAGAGUGUGUCAGAGGAUGGUGGAAUUCCCGGUGUAGCGGUGAAAUGCGUAGAGAUCGGGAGGAACAUCAGUGGCGAAGGCGGCCAUCUGGGACAACACUGACGCUGAGGCACGAAAGCAUGGGGAGCAAACAGGAUUAGAUACCCCUGUAGUCCCUGUCUCUUAUAC